GAGUGUAAGCUGCUAUAUGAAGGGAUCCACAAGACGAAUAAUUAAGGGGGACCUCUGAUCAACAGCCAGCAAGGAACUGAAUCCCUCAGACCCACAACUCACAAGAAACUGAAGCUGAAGCAGAUUCUUCCUCAGUCAAGCUUCAGGUGCCCAGCUGUAUUGGUAGAGGAGACCAACCACACCCUCCACAGCACAGCACCUGGAGAGGAACUGCUGCCAUGACCAUAGAGGACACCCUCUGGAUACAAUGCCAGACUUGAUGUGGGACUGACCAACCUAUGGACCCCAGGCACCACCACCCAGACCUGCUCAGCACCUGAAAUAUUCGCUGUUCCUUCCAGCAUUCACAGCCGUGGAGAGAGAACUGUUCACUGCUACCAUCCACACUUCUGGGCCCCUUCAGCAGCAGGGUGACAAGGAAGAGGGAAAUCGACUUGGAAAAGAGGGGACCUCUGACCCAAGAGUUCGGUCAAUGCAUAUGUUGGCAGCCAGCUGCACAUCGCACCAAAUAUGAACUUCAAAUAGAAGAAAGCCUCAUUUGGAAGAAAGCUCAUGCACAGACUGUAAAUAUUUCAGAGCAGAUUGUGUCUCUGUAGAUUAAAACAGGGCAUUAAGGCACAGACACAGAGGGAAGACCUUGUGGAGGCUUGGAGGAAGACAGCCAUCUACUAUCCAAAGACAGAGACAUCAGGAUGUAACCAACCCUACAACACCUUGAUCUGGGACUUCCACCCAGCCUGUGGUGCUGGUCAUGCCAGCCUGAGCAGACUGUCACAGCCGGCUUUUCCUGACUCCCCUUUACAGAGGGCUCCUACCCUUCCUGCCACUCCACAGGGCUAUAGAAAGAUUUUUUAAAGAUCUAUAUGAAGAAUAAGAAGUUAGUCCCUUUCGGACAAAAAUCUUCAGUAAAAUUGAUCUGUGCCCCAGGCACACAAAGAAGCAGGAAUCUGGGUAUUCUCACUGUCAAUAUUCCAUAUGUCUAGCCCCUGGAAACCUAAAACAAGACCAGAGAAUACCAAGGAAGGCAGAUUAUUUGGAAGACAUGGAUGCCAAAGUGCUUCUCAAUCCAGUCUCAGAAGCCAGAGAUGUCAGUGGGUGCUGCUGUUUUAUUUCCUGUGAAUCGGAGGACGAUGAGAAACCAAAUGAAAAUAUUGCCACAGUUAAGAUUGAAAAGAAGGCAAUUUAUGAGUGAGGUGUGGAUUUCAAAUGAGAUCUUCUCUGUUGACAGAGAGCCUUUGCUCUAAGCCAAUACCUGAGCUUCUGCCAGUUUGAACAAUUAUAAUGGAGGAAGGAGAUGAGGGAUUAGAAAAAACAAAGCUGACAGAUGGCAAUUUGUGAAGAGUUGAAUCAACAUAAAUUAUAUCUCAUCAGUGAGCAGAGGAAAGAGAGGAUGUUUUCCAGUGUUCGGCUAACCACUGAGAUGGUGAACAUGCCAGAGGCACAGCAAGCAAACCACUGGGCACCCUCCAGAUCUGGAUGCAAGCACAGAGCUGGAGAAAUACCCUUUAUUGGAAAGCCAUAUGGAUUGCAAAUUGUGGAUAGACAUCUAUUUGAAACAAUACAAUAAAUGAACAUCUGGGA
Molecule: long non-coding RNA, 1581 nt
Organism: Homo sapiens (human)
Lineage: Eukaryota; Metazoa; Chordata; Mammalia; Primates; Hominidae
Product: MIR3976 host gene
Source: Ensembl